UACGGAGAGUUUGAUUCUGGCUCAGAACGAACGCUGGCGGCGUGGAUAAGACAUGCAAGUCGAGCGAAACGAGCUUGAUGGUAACUGAUGGCGAGUUUAGCGGCGAACGGGUGAGUAACACGUAAGAAUCUGCCCUGAAGAAGGGGAUAGCCCGGGGAAACUCGGAUUAAUACCUAAUGUGGAGGCAACUCUAAAGGAUGAAUAAUCGCUUCAGGAUGAGCUUGCGGUCCAUCAGCUUGUUGGUGAGGUAACGGCUCACCAAGGCUGCGACGGAUAGCUGGUCUGAGAGGACGGUCAGCCACAAUGGAACUGAGACACGGUCCAUACACCUACGGG
RNAcentral lists this ribosomal RNA (336 nucleotides) under Verrucomicrobiales bacterium. RNAcentral's name for it is "bacterial SSU rRNA". It matches the Rfam family "Bacterial small subunit ribosomal RNA", at positions 1 to 345 of the family's 1533-position model. The record is from RNAcentral. Lineage: Bacteria; Pseudomonadati; Verrucomicrobiota; Verrucomicrobiia; Verrucomicrobiales.